AUACGUAGGUGGCGAGCGUUAUCCGGAAUUAUUGGGCGUAAAGGGUGCGUAGGCGGCAUAUUAAGUCUGUGGUUAAAGUGCGGGGCUCAACUCCGUAUUGCCAUAGAAACUGGUAAGCUAGAGUGCAGGAGAGGGCAGUGGAAUUCCAUGUGUAGCGGUAAAAUGCGUAGAUAUAUGGAGGAACACCGGUGGCGAAGGCGGCUGCCUGGCCUGUAACUGACGCUGAGGCACGAAAGCGUGGGGAGCAAAUAGGAUUAGAUACCCUAGUAGUCCACGCUGUAAACGAUGAAUACUAAGUGUUGGAGCAAUUCAGUGCUGUAGUUAACGCAAUAAGUAUUCCGCCUGGGGAGUAUGCACGCAAGUGUAAAACUCAAAUGAAUUGACGGGG
RNAcentral lists this ribosomal RNA (388 nucleotides) under uncultured bacterium. RNAcentral's name for it is "partial 16S ribosomal RNA". It matches the Rfam family "Bacterial small subunit ribosomal RNA", at positions 523 to 918 of the family's 1533-position model. The record is from RNAcentral.